AACAGCAGGGGUUUUUGUGAGUGGUCCUUCUGGGAACAAUGACACUGAAGCGCACGUGCACAAGACGACUCCAUUUUUUUCUUUCAGUGUUUGAACGAAUACAUCGUCACCCGGUUGGAAUAUUAUCGCUAUUUUACGAGAAAAAUAGCAUAAACAUUUAUUUUAAACAGCAUUUGACAUGCUUCGAAGUACGGUAAUGGAAUAUUUUGAAAUUUUUUGUCACGAAAUGUGCCGGCCUGUCACCCUUCGGAUAGUGACUUGAACGCACAAACAAAACGGAGCUAUUUGGAUAUAACUAUGGAUUAUUUCGAACCAAAACAACAUUUGUUGUUGAAGUAGAAGUCCUGGGAGUGCAUUCUUACGAAGAACAGCAAAGGGACAAAAGUUGGCAUCUGAUCACGUUUCACUCCAUUGCAUUGGCUUGGUAGGAGAAAACCAACCUGCCCGACUCGUUUGGAGUGCAGAGCAAAUUAGAAGUAUCCACUUGGGAUAACAUUUUCCAGAAGAAUAAGGAAUAAUAAUACUGCCUCAGAAAUUAUGGAAGCAGCAGAAGAUUACACCAUCUUCCAGAUGAUCGAGGAACAGGGUCAUCUACUCCACCAACACCACAAACAGUUGGCUCUUCUGUGUAUGACCAUGAAGGAGGUCUUCCGCAUUCUCCACCGCCUCGACACCGCUAGCGAUGUUCUCCAUACCUCUAACAGACGGCCUCCUCCUACGGGUUGUCAGAGUGAGCCAGUCCCCAGCCUACCCAGCCAUCUGCCCAGGUCAGCAAUGCCCGAUUGUCCCUUCCGGAGAAAUAUGACG
Molecule: long non-coding RNA, 807 nt
Filed under: Salmo salar (Atlantic salmon)
Lineage: Eukaryota; Metazoa; Chordata; Actinopteri; Salmoniformes; Salmonidae
Description: lncRNA (ENSSSAG00000111492.1)
Source: RNAcentral